RNAcentral lists this ribosomal RNA (278 nucleotides) under uncultured bacterium. RNAcentral's name for it is "partial 16S ribosomal RNA". It matches the Rfam family "Bacterial small subunit ribosomal RNA", at positions 524 to 796 of the family's 1533-position model. The record is from RNAcentral.
UACGUAGAGUGCAAGCGUUGUCCGGAAUUAUUGGGCGUAAAGGGUACGCAGGCGGAUAGUAAAGUCAAGCGUGAAAGGUGUCGGCUUAACCGACAGACUGCGUUUGAAACUGAUUAUCUUGAGUGUAACAGAGGAGAGUGGAAUUUCCUAGUGUAGUGGUGAAAUACGUAGAUAUUAGGAAGAACACCAGUGGCGAAGGCGACUCUCUGGGUUAACACCGACGCUGAGGUACGAAAGCUGGGGGAGCAAACGGGGAUUUAGAUACCCCCCGUACGUAC